Alosa alosa (allis shad) is the source of this 725-nucleotide long non-coding RNA. RefSeq lists it as uncharacterized. Lineage: Eukaryota; Metazoa; Chordata; Actinopteri; Clupeiformes; Clupeidae. The transcript is spliced from 3 exons. The record is from RefSeq and is a predicted model, not a curated record.
AUCAGACUUGCAGCCCUUGGCCAUGUCUCUAGGUAGAGAGGAUCUGUUUACCUACUUUUCCUACCCUCUGCAUUGAGUUGGUGUGUCUGUGGUGACCCAGUUAAAGGACUCCGACUUCCAUGAUUCUGGAGACCUGAUUCCGCCCCCUCCUCCUCAUCUCUUUUCCCAGAGGUCUCUGAGAACAGUGGACCUGAGUCCAGCAGUUAUGUGUCGCCACUCAGGGAGGAACACGAUGACCAGUUCUUUCAAAUGUUCCUCGCUGGUGAACUUCCACCUGGUACCAUAACCCAUUUCAGUUCCACCUAUGAGCAUGGCCACAAUGCUUAGACCGAUGUUGGCUUUGAGAGGGUUCCUCCUCCUGCCCCUGAAAGAAGGGCUCCUUCUCACCAAAGGAAAGUACAGAAUGACUCUAAAAUGAACACCAAGGUUCCUUUAGGUAUUUUACAGCCCUUUCUAACAUCCAAAAAGGCAAAUGCUUGAGCAAAAGCUCACGUAAAGCAGCCUUCAAAUCCUAAGAGAAAUUAGCAUUAAGGGGGUCCAUCUCAACACUAGACAGGAAACCUAAACGGGGGUAAGCCACAUUGUCUGUAAUUUGCAUUUUCACUCUGAAGUUGAACAUUGUUCUAAAAUGUCUAAUUUACCUCUUCGAUGGUGGUGUAUUUGUUCUGCAGUGACUGCCACAAAGAUCAACACUUUAAGCCUUGAAUUCAAUAAACUUUAAGAAC